UGGUAGCUGUUUAUGAUAUAUGUUUCU
This 27-nucleotide non-coding RNA is filed under the name Mus musculus (house mouse). The record is from RNAcentral. Lineage: Eukaryota; Metazoa; Chordata; Mammalia; Rodentia; Muridae.